This 377-nucleotide unclassified non-coding RNA is filed under the name uncultured bacterium. Its description in RNAcentral is "contains 16S-23S intergenic spacer region". The record is from RNAcentral.
UCCGGUUUGUCACCGGCAGUCUCAUUAGAGUGCCCAACUAAAUGUAGCAACUAAUGACAAGGGUUGCGCUCGUUGCGGGACUUAACCCAACAUCUCACGACACGAGCUGACGACAGCCAUGCAGCACCUAUGCAGCAGCCUUUUAAGGGGAAGGGAUAUUUCUACCCCGAUCCACUGCAUUUCGAGCCCAGGUAAGGUUCUUCGCGUUGCGUCGAAUUGAACCACAUGCUCCACCGCUUGUGCGGGCCCCCGUCAAUUCUUUUGAGUUUCAGCCUUGCGACCGUACUCCCCAGGCGGAUUGCUUAUCGCGUUAGCUACGUUGCCGCAGGGGUCAAUACCCGCGACGACUAGCAUCCAUCGUUUACGGCGUGGACUAC